GCAGAGAUGUCCGAGUGGUUAAGGAGAUUGACUAGAAUUCAAAUGGGCUCUGCCCGCGCAGGUUCGAAUCCUGCUCGCUGCG
Molecule: transfer RNA, 82 nt
Filed under: Angiostrongylus costaricensis
Lineage: Eukaryota; Metazoa; Nematoda; Chromadorea; Rhabditida; Metastrongylidae
Rfam family: tRNA
About the family: Transfer RNA (tRNA) molecules are approximately 80 nucleotides in length. Their secondary structure includes four short double-helical elements and three loops (D, anti-codon, and T loops).
Source: Rfam by way of RNAcentral